AUAGAGUUUAAUAUAUGUAGUAAUUAAUUGAGUUAAGAUUUAAUUUUUGGUUAUUAUGAAAUUUAUUUAGUUGGGGUGAUUAAGAGAUAAAUAAAACUCUUUUUGAAUUUUAAUAUUAUAAUUAGUUAUAUGAUCCAUAAUUAAUGAUUAUAAGAUUAAAUUACCUUAGGGAUAACAGCAUAAUUCUUUUUGAGAGUUCAUAUUGAAAAAAGAGCUUGUGACCUCGAUGUUGGAUUAGGAUUAGUUUUGGGUGCAGAUGUUCAAUAACUAGGUCUGUUCGACCUUAAAAAUCCUACA
Molecule: ribosomal RNA, 297 nt
Filed under: Zoolea orba
Lineage: Eukaryota; Metazoa; Arthropoda; Insecta; Mantodea; Mantidae
Description: partial 16S ribosomal RNA
Rfam family: Bacterial large subunit ribosomal RNA (bases 171-297)
Source: RNAcentral